GUACAGAUCAGAUCCAUGGCACACGAUUACAAUAGGAAGAAGUGAAUAGCUCAAAAGACAAGGAUGCCUUUAGUCCAGGCUAACCCCUGUAGCCUCUACGCAAUUAACACAGAAGAAAGGCCUUCCUCCCUUCCAGCACUGGGGCUCAACAGUGGACUGAGUGUUUGGUAGUGGAACAGGGCCUCCUUUCGAGGUGAGGCACUUGGGUUCUUGCCCUUGCUUCUUCCCAGUGAGAACUGUUUCCUCC
RNAcentral lists this long non-coding RNA (247 nucleotides) under Homo sapiens (human). RNAcentral's name for it is "HSALNT0359565". The record is from RNAcentral. Lineage: Eukaryota; Metazoa; Chordata; Mammalia; Primates; Hominidae.